RNAcentral lists this ribosomal RNA (385 nucleotides) under uncultured bacterium. Its description in RNAcentral is "bacterial SSU rRNA". It matches the Rfam family "Bacterial small subunit ribosomal RNA", at positions 29 to 416 of the family's 1533-position model. The record is from RNAcentral.
AUUGAACGCUGGCGGCAUGCCUUACACAUGCAAGUCGAACGGCAGCACGGGAGCAAUCCUGGUGGCGAGUGGCGAACGGGUGAGUAAUGCAUCGGAACGUGCCCAAUCGUGGGGGGAUAACGUAGCGAAAGUUACGCUAAUACCGCAUAAGCCCUGAGGGGGAAAGUGGGGGACCGCAAGGCCUCACGCGAAUGGAGCGGCCGAUGUCAGAUUAGCUAGUUGGUGGGUAAAGGCCACCAAGGCGACGAUCUGUAGCGGGUCUGAGAGGAUGAUCCGCCACACUGGGACUGAGACACGGCCCAGACUCCUACGGGAGGCAGCAGUGGGGAAUUUUGGACAAUGGGCGCAAGCCUGAUCCAGCCAUGCCGCGUGCGGGACGAAGGCC